UAGAAAACUUAUUGAAGAAAACCAGUCUAACUGGGGUGAGUAUCUUGACAUAGUUUUGUAUCCCUUACGUAUUGAAAGGCAAACUUCUACAAAAGUGUCACCUUUUGAGUUAAUGUUUGGUGGUCGUUCACCUGUUUGCAUAAGUGAGUUUAAAGAAGAGAUCAGUAUAUUUACUGCAAAUGUAGAUGACGUAAUGGCUGAAGUCGAAAAAAAAAAACAUAUUGAAAACUUAACUAAUAUAGUCACUAAGAACAUUGAAGAAGCUCAA
Hydra vulgaris (swiftwater hydra) is the source of this 268-nucleotide non-coding RNA. NCBI's taxonomy places the organism in Eukaryota, Metazoa, Cnidaria, Hydrozoa, Anthoathecata, Hydridae. The record is from RefSeq and is a predicted model, not a curated record.